Molecule: ribosomal RNA, 427 nt
Filed under: uncultured bacterium
Lineage: Bacteria
Description: bacterial SSU rRNA
Rfam family: Bacterial small subunit ribosomal RNA
Source: RNAcentral
UGGGGAAUUUUGGACAAUGGACGCAAGUCUGAUCCAGCCAUGCCGCGUGUGGGAAGAAGGCCUUCGGGUUGUAAACCGCUUUUGUCAGGGAAGAAACGAGUUUCUCUAAUACAGAGACUUAAUGACGGUACCUGAAGAAUAAGCACCGGCUAACUACGUGCCAGCAGCCGCGGUAAUACGUAGGGUGCAAGCGUUGAUCGGAAUUACUGGGCGUAAAGCGUGCGCAGGCGGUUAUGUAAGACAGAUGUGAAAUCCCCGGGCUCAACCUGGGACCUGCAUUUGUGACUGCAUAGCUAGAGUACGGCAGAGGGGGAUGGAAUUCCGCGUGUAGCAGUGAAAUGCGUAGAUAUGCGGAGGAACACCGAUGGCGAAGGCAAUCCCCUGGGCCUGUACUGACGCUCAUGCACGAAAGCGUGGGGAGCAAACA